Molecule: non-coding RNA, 103 nt
Filed under: Jeotgalicoccus aerolatus
Lineage: Bacteria; Bacillati; Bacillota; Bacilli; Caryophanales; Staphylococcaceae
Description: SAM riboswitch aptamer (S box leader)
Rfam family: SAM riboswitch aptamer (S box leader)
About the family: The SAM riboswitch is found upstream of a number of genes which code for proteins involved in methionine or cysteine biosynthesis in Gram-positive bacteria. The SAM riboswitch acts at the level of transcription termination control. The predicted structure consists of a complex stem-loop region followed by a single stem loop terminator region.
Source: RNAcentral
UCUUAUCGAGAGAGGUGUAGGGACAGGCCCGAUGAUACCUCAGCAGCGGACCGUAAAAGGUACUGUGCUAAUUCCUCGAGCUUUCUAAAGCUUGAAGAUGAGA